Molecule: ribosomal RNA, 451 nt
Filed under: uncultured bacterium
Lineage: Bacteria
Description: bacterial SSU rRNA
Rfam family: Bacterial small subunit ribosomal RNA
Source: RNAcentral
UGCCAGACUCCUACGGGAGGCAGCAGUGGGGAAUAUUGGACAAUGGGGGGAACCCUGAUCCAGCGACGCCGCGUGAGUGAAGAAGUAUUUCGGUAUGUAAAGCUCUAUCAGCAGGGAAGAAAGAAAUGACGGUACCUGACCAAGAAGCCCCGGCUAACUACGUGCCAGCAGCCGCGGUAAUACGUAGGGGGCAAGCGUUAUCCGGAUUUACUGGGUGUAAAGGGGGCGCAGACGGCAAUGCAAGCCAGGAGUGAAAGCCCGGGGCCCAACCCCGGGACUGCUUUGGAAACUGUGCAGCUAGAGUGCGGGAGAGGUAAGCGGAAUUCCUAGUGUAGCGGUGAAAUGCGUAGAUAUUAGGAGGAACACCAGUGGCGAAGGCGGCUUGCUGGACCGUAACUGACGUUGAGGCUCGAAAGCGUGGGGAGCAAACAGGAUUAGAUACCCUAGUAGA